UGCGACCUCUCGGAGGAAGAGAGCACUACAAUUUAGCACUUACACCCAGGGUACAAGUGGCAGAGCUCAGCCAUGACAGGGCUCACUCCGCUCUGCAACUGGAAUUCAAGGGGACAGGAGGCAACCAGCCUCCUGCGGUCAGCACCCACCACCUGUGCAAAGAGCCCUCCAACACCCCACUUCUGCCCUCAUUUCCCCAGGAGGAACUCAUAACACCGUACGAAGCACAGAAAUCAGCAGUAACUUUUUCUGCUCAAGAAAGGACAACUUCUGCUAUGCCAGCUAGUACAUGACACCCGUAUAUUCCAUCACAGGCCAGCUGGAUCAAUGAAAGGAUUUGAAACAGUUUGGACAGCCAUCCUGAAAACGCCCUCAGUUUAAGCGGUCCAUCACAGCUUUCCCGUUAGCAAUCCCAAGAAAUACAGAGAACACACAGAUCCCUCUCUGUUGUGUCCAAAUAUGCUACACAGACAAGCAAGCUGUAAGACAUACAGUGGCAGCACAAGAGUAAAGAGGUCCAAGAUCUGCACUGUGACAAGAGGAGAUGGACAUGUCAGAACAAAAAGAAAUGUACAAAGAAGUAAAAGAAUAAGCAGGAAAGGAAACAACAACCUUGACAUUCUUUCUCUUGUGAAGAUUUUUCUAAAUUACUGUUUAAAAAACAACCUCCUGCAUGUUGUAUAUAACUGGAAAGAGUUGUCAUCCCAAAUGAACUCAAAUGGAUGCCCAAACAAGUCUUCUCUGACAUACUGUUAGACACUACGCGAAACCUCCAUGAGAAGCAACCUAGUCUUUAGUAACAGUCUCCUUUUUGAAAAGUGAAGCCUUCUCUCAGCACUACAAGACUAAUGUAAACUGCCUCGGUCUGAAGGAUCGUAAGUGUGAGAACACAGAAGUAAUGAAAACUACAUACAUAUUUCCUCAAAUUUCUCCUUUCACAAAGGACAAAUAUUCUCAUUAACAAGAGAUCAGACUAUCAGUGUAGCCUGGAACAGUUAAUUGAUUUAUUUUUAUCGCAGCUCAACUCAGAGACAUUCCGUGCUGCAUCUAUACAGGUGACCAGAACAGGGCAAAUGUGGCUUUUGUUUCCAGAUCUGUACUCCGACUGGAAGAAUGUACAAGCUCUGUAAGCAGAUCUACAAAUAAAAUGUUCAGCCAAUUCCUCUUCAAGUAACCCUUUUGGACCGUCCCCCUUCCUUUCAAAGGAGAUUCAACUUAUACAAUUUAUCAGGUAACAUCCAUGAGCAUCCAGCAUCUACUUUGGCCAUUCUGCUCACAGCCUACAUUCAUUCUUUAAAGAAAAUUAGAGGACAUAGUAAAGAGUGAUAUAAAAACACAUUUGGGGUCAAGAAAGUUAAUAUCGAUGUCAUUUGCAUCAAGCCAAGAUGACAUCAAACUGCUAUUCUAGUAACUAGGGUCAUUGGUUGAUUUUUUUUUUAAUUUUCUUAAUGAGGUCGUUAUUUAAUGAAUAGUGUGAUCUUCCAUCUGACAAAUUUAACUUGCAAAUUUCUAAAAUUGUGUCGCAUGCAACACAUGCAUGCUAGUAAAUGAAAACUCCACUGCAUGCAGCGUUUGUGUUUGCAGCCAGCAGAUUGACCACAAGCACCAUCUGCCCAACAGGUAAUAACAAGCCGCAUCUGAUAAGGUGGUUGAUCAGCAGCAUUAAGGGAAGCGUGACGUGAAAGACAACGGGUGAAGAAUAAAAAACAAACAACGCUGCCAAAAAACAGUAAAAUGCAUUUUCUAGCUCAGCUUUCACCAGAACUAUACAUGGUGGAAAUGCUUAAUUAUUAAGCCGUCCUUCAGAGAGAACAGAGAAAAUUUCCUGCCGAAUGCUCAUUAGUUCUUGUUGACUACAAAACCUACCAGCGUUCUCCCCAGCCUGACUGAUUCUGUGAUCCAAAAAGGUGAGCCAUGAACUGCACUUCGCUAUUUCAUGGGCUUUAAAACAACCUUAAGCCUACGGGAACAACUCCUCCUACACUGAUUCCAGUAUAUACUGUCCGACAGCCGACAAUUGUCUCCCAUCUCCUCUCUCCACCUUCACGGAGCCAGCUCUCGGACAGAGGAGGCGGCGGGGGUGAAAGGGGCUGUCACGCACGCGGGCCACACCGCACAGGAGCGUUUCCUACCCGCGCUGCGAGGCGCUGGACUGCGAGGACUCCGCCGGCUGAUCCGCAAGCUCUGUCUCUCGGGCUGCAUCUUCGUUUUCUAACGACAAACAGAACACGCGGGAAGGUGAUUUCACGACAUGUGAGGGAGUUGCUGGGGAUCGAAGAGCCUGUCUUCAGCAGAUCCAUUGCCCUCCCAUACAGAGACAACAUGGGCCUCUUCCUGGAGCAAAAGUCCCGAUCAGGAGAGGAAGCAGAUGCCCUCACUUUCUCCCAGUUUGUCCAAGAAGCAGGCCUGGAGCCCUACUGCACAGUUCCUCCUUUGCAACAAGCCCAGACUGGGUUAGAGGCAGAUGCUGUCCCUUUAUCGCAGGACACCCAGAGGCAGGAUUAGAGAGUCACACAGCAGUUCCACCUUUGUAAGAAGCCCAGCUGGGACAGCAGUAUAUACCUUUAUUACCUUGCAGUAGGGAGGUACAGUUCCACAUUCUCCCCAUAAAGCAAAAGGCCAGUGUAGCUCUUAGCUGUUUGAUUACAACAAACGCAUCCCUACAUCGCCUCUUUUCCACAAGGAUUUUCUGCAGCCCUUCAUUUGCUUCCAGGAACUAAGAGAAGCAGAACCCAUAAAUCAGGCAUGACUUUACCACUGUCUUUCAUUUCUGUUUUAUAGUUGAUUAAAUAAAACACAAAAAACUCAA
Long non-coding RNA from Cygnus olor (mute swan), 2809 nucleotides. RefSeq lists it as uncharacterized. The record is from RefSeq and is a predicted model, not a curated record. Lineage: Eukaryota; Metazoa; Chordata; Aves; Anseriformes; Anatidae. The transcript is spliced from 2 exons.